ACCACAGUAACUCAGUGGUAGAGUGCUUGCCUGGCAGGCAUGAGGCUCUGGGUUUGAUCCCCAGCACUGGAG
RNAcentral lists this transfer RNA (72 nucleotides) under Marmota marmota marmota (Alpine marmot). It matches the Rfam family "tRNA". Rfam says of the family: Transfer RNA (tRNA) molecules are approximately 80 nucleotides in length. Their secondary structure includes four short double-helical elements and three loops (D, anti-codon, and T loops). RNAcentral also lists the same sequence under 1 other name. The record is from Rfam by way of RNAcentral. Lineage: Eukaryota; Metazoa; Chordata; Mammalia; Rodentia; Sciuridae.